UCCGGGUUGAUCCUGCCGGACCUGACUGCUAUCGGAUUGGUACUAAGCCAUGCGAGUCGUUGUAGCAAUACAAGGCGGACGGCUCAGUAACACGUAGUCAACCUAACCUAUGGACGUGGAUAACCUCGGGAAACUGAGAAUAAACCGCGAUAGAUCAUUAUGCCUGGAAUGGCUUAUGGUUCAAACAAUUUAUUGCCGUAGGAUGGGACUGCGGCCUAUCAGCUUGUUGGUGAGGUAAUGGCCCACCAAGGCUAUAACAGGUACGGGCUCUGAGAGGAGAAGCCCGGAGAUGGGUACUGAGACACGGACCCAGGCCCUAUGGGGCGCAGCAGGCGAGAAACCUUAGCAAUGUGCGAAAGCACGACUAGGUUAAUCCGAGUGAUUUCUGUUGAAGAAAUCUUUUGUCAGUCGUAAAACCACAGACGAAUAAGGGGUGGGCAAGUCUGGUGUCAGCCGCCGCGGUAAUACCAGCACCUCGAGUGGUCAGGAGGUUUAUUGGGCCUAAAGCAUCCGUAGCCGGCUACGCAAGUCUCCGGUUAAAUCCAGCUGCUCAACAGAUGGGCUGCCGGAGAUACUACAUAGCUAGGGAGCGGGAGAGGUAGACGGUAUUCUGUGGGUAGGGGUAAAAUCCACUGAUCCAUAGAGGACCACCAGUGGCGAAGGCGGUCUACCAGAACGCGUUCGACGGUGAGGGAUGAAAGCUGGGGGAGCAAACCGGAUUAGAUACCCGGGUAGUCCCAGCUGUAAACGAUGCAAACUCGGUGAUGCAUUGGCUUAUGGCCAAUGCAGUGCCGCAGGGAAGCCGUUAAGUUUGCCGCCUGGGAAGUACGGACGCAAGUCUGAAACUUAAAGGAAUUGGCGGGGGAGCA
RNAcentral lists this ribosomal RNA (869 nucleotides) under uncultured archaeon. RNAcentral's name for it is "bacterial SSU rRNA". It matches the Rfam family "Archaeal small subunit ribosomal RNA", at positions 1 to 878 of the family's 1478-position model. The record is from RNAcentral.